GGAGCUUGCUCCAGGCGUCGAGCGGCGGACGGGUGAGUAAUGCAUAGGAAUCUGCCCGGUAGUGGGGGAUAACCGGGGGAAACCCAGGCUAAUACCGCAUACGUCCUACGGGAGAAAGCAGGGGAUCUUCGGACCUUGCGCUAUCGGAUGAGCCUAUGUCGGAUUAGCUUGUUGGUGAGGUAAUGGCUCACCAAGGCGACGAUCCGUAGCUGGUCUGAGAGGAUGAUCAGCCACAUCGGGACUGAGACACGGCCCGAACUCCUACGGGAGGCAGCAGUGGGGAAUAUUGGACAAUGGGCGAAAGCCUGAUCCAGCCAUGCCGCGUGUGUGAAGAAGGCUUUCGGGUUGUAAAGCACUUUCAGUGAGGAAGAAGGCCUUGGGGCCAAUACCCCCGAGGAAGGACAUCACUCACAGAAGAAGCACCGGCUAACUCCGUGCCAGCAGCCGCGGUAAUACGGAGGGUGCGAGCGUUAAUCGGAAUUACUGGGCGUAAAGCGCGCGUAGGUGGCGUGAUAAGCCGGUUGUGAAAGCCCCGGGCUCAACCUGGGAACGGCAUCCGGAACUGUCAGGCUAGAGUGCAGGAGAGGAAGGUAGAAUUCCCGGUGUAGCGGUGAAAUGCGUAGAGAUCGGGAGGAAUACCAGUGGCGAAGGCGGCCUUCUGGACUGACACUGACACUGAGGUGCGAAAGCGUGGGUAGCAAACAGGAUUAGAUACCCUGGUAGUCCACGCCC
Molecule: ribosomal RNA, 732 nt
Filed under: uncultured Pseudomonadota bacterium
Lineage: Bacteria; Pseudomonadati; Pseudomonadota
Description: bacterial SSU rRNA
Rfam family: Bacterial small subunit ribosomal RNA
Source: RNAcentral